This 71-nucleotide transfer RNA is filed under the name Candida albicans A92. RNAcentral describes it as "tRNA-Gly (GCC) (tRNA-Gly-GCC-2-1)". It matches the Rfam family "tRNA". Rfam says of the family: Transfer RNA (tRNA) molecules are approximately 80 nucleotides in length. Their secondary structure includes four short double-helical elements and three loops (D, anti-codon, and T loops). The record is from RNAcentral. Lineage: Eukaryota; Fungi; Ascomycota; Pichiomycetes; Serinales; Debaryomycetaceae.
GCAAGAAUGGUUUAGUGGUAAAAUCCAACGUUGCCAUCGUUGGGCUCCGGGUUCGAUUCCCGGUUCUUGCA